This 460-nucleotide ribosomal RNA is filed under the name uncultured bacterium. Its description in RNAcentral is "partial 16S ribosomal RNA". It matches the Rfam family "Bacterial small subunit ribosomal RNA", at positions 338 to 795 of the family's 1533-position model. The record is from RNAcentral.
CCUACGGGGGGCAGCAGUGAGGAAUAUUGGUCAAUGGGCUUACGCCUGAACCAGCCAAGUCGCGUGAGGGAAGACUGCCCUAUGGGUUGUAAACCUCUUUUGUCAGGGAGCAAUUUGCGCUACGUGUAGCGUUAUCGAGAGUACCUGAAGUAAAAGCAUCGGCUAACUCCGUGCCAGCAGCCGCGGUAAUACGGAGGAUGCGAGCGUUAUCCGGAUUUAUUGGGUUUAAAGGGUGCGUAGGCGGACUGUAAAGUCAGCGGUAAAAUCGAGAGGCUCAACCUCUUUCCGCCGUUGAAACUGUCGGUCUUGAGUGGGCGAGAAGUAUGCGGAAUGCGUGGUGUAGCGGUGAAAUGCAUAGAUAUCACGCAGAACUCCGAUUGCGAAGGCAGCAUACCGGCGCCCGACUGACGCUGAGGCACGAAAGCGUGGGUAUCGAACAGGAUUAGAUACCCUAGUAGUC